Molecule: non-coding RNA, 24 nt
Filed under: Arabidopsis thaliana (thale cress)
Lineage: Eukaryota; Viridiplantae; Streptophyta; Magnoliopsida; Brassicales; Brassicaceae
Source: RNAcentral
CGUUUAUGCACGUGCAUUCGUCCC